This 430-nucleotide ribosomal RNA is filed under the name Pseudomonadota bacterium. Its description in RNAcentral is "Proteobacteria bacterium partial 16S ribosomal RNA". It matches the Rfam family "Bacterial small subunit ribosomal RNA", at positions 355 to 776 of the family's 1533-position model. Lineage: Bacteria; Pseudomonadati; Pseudomonadota. The record is from RNAcentral.
UGGGGAAUAUUGGACAAUGGGGGGAACCCUGAUCCAGCCAUGCCGCGUGUGUGAAGAAGGCCUUAUGGUUGUAAAGCACUUUAAGCGAGGAGGAGGGUACUGGUAUUAAUACUACCAGGUACUGGACGUUACUCGCAGAAUAAGCACCGGCUAACUCUGUGCCAGCAGCCGCGGUAAUACAGAGGGUGCGAGCGUUAAUCGGAUUUACUGGGCGUAAAGCGUGCGUAGGCGGCUAAUUGAGUCGGAUGUGAAAUCCCCGAGCUUAACUUGGGAAUUGCAUUCGAUACUGGUUAGCUAGAGUGUGGGAGAGGAUGGUAGGAUUCCAGGUGUAGCGGUGAAAUGCGUAGAGAUCUGGAGGAAUACCGAUGGCGAAGGCAGCCAUCUGGCCUAACACUGACGCUGAGGUACGAAAGCAUGGGGAGCAAACAGG